GGCCAGCACGGCCCCCACACCGACACAGCCCCUGCCCGGGUCCGCGCUGACCCCGCGCCCCUCCCGGGAGAAGGAGGAAAUGAGUUUCCUGACCGGCAAUGUGUGCUCAGAGCCAGGACCUCCCUUUCCUAACAGAAGCAUUGGGGAAAACCAGCCUGUAUCCCCAGGGAUUCGUGAUGAGCCCACUUAGCUUUGGGAAGCUGUCCAGGACUUAACCCUUGGGUUUGGAACUUCAGCAGGGCUCAUGAGGGGAAGACUGGAGAUGUCCUUCCCUAACCUCCUGGGUGCCCAGAGCAAACACUCCUGCUCUGCUUUCAGUUCCUUAGAACAAAAACUGCUUCCCAGAUGGAUGUGACUUCUCAAGAGCUGAGGGAAACCCGAGGUUGCCCGGUGAGCCAGGAGCACAGCUUUGGAACAGAGAAGGGGUUGCCAGAGUGCGGAUGCUCUGAGUGCUGCUGUUUGACACGAGCUGCACAAGAAUCCCAGACUGGUGGGUGAAGGCCGUGCUGGCAGGACCAUGAGCAGAGUGAUGGGGACUGCGGGCACAUGGGCUCAAAACACGAGCUCUGCAUCCUCGGUGAGCUUCUCCUCUAGUCCUCGCUUGGUACGUUUUCUUUCUUUCUGAGGAGACCUCAGCUCCCUUUUCUCCUCUGGCAUCACUCUGGCAGGUAUCACUGGGGAGGCUGGGAGCUCCUGCCCAACGUGUGUGCAGGAGUGACCUUCCCCCCGGUGCCUCCGCCGGGCACCCGUCCAACCCGGGGCGAUGCUCGGCUGAUGGGAUCUGCCUUGGGCAGCUCACCACGAGGCUGCCUCAGAGACGUCUCUGUCGAGGCCAGCCAGAGCAGCAGAUGGUCUCUCAGGCAGCAUCUCCAUGAACCUGAGUGGUUGUGCUGUGAAAACAAACUGCCAUAAGCGGAUGUUGCUCAGCUUUGCUUCCGGCAUUGCUGCUCAACUUUCCUCAUGAGGAAUGGUGACCCUCUCCAAAGAAAGGGCAUAAAUCAUCACUUGGUUUUUCCUUUAACUCCUGGAUAUGCUGAGUCCUGUGUAAUAAAUUAUAUUGCUCACUGUAAAAGAAAAUCCAGAGGCAGCUCUGCCAGCCUCUUGAAUCCCUGAGUUGCAGGAUUCAGUUCAUCCCCAGGAACACAUUGGUUAAUGCAGUGAGAUGAGCCAUCAGGUUGCUCCACAGAUGAGCAAGGCAUUUAGGACACCAAAGCUGUUGGGAACACAUGGAUCCCAAGGCAGCCAUCCCAGCCCUGUCCCCUCCCAGAGAGGCUGAGGCAUGAGCUCAGCUUGGAGCAGGUACUUGAGCAGGUACCUCACUGCUCAGGGCUUGUCUGCACAGGAUUCUUAAGAAAGUUAAAUUGAAGCAACUAAAUCUAAAGUAGAGCAUUAAAAUUCUGUAUAAAACUCAUUCAGAAUUAAAGUGGCCUUAAUUCUGUUUAGUUUAGUCCCAAAUGUUACUAUAUAAGGCCAUUUAAAUUAUCUUUAAUUAACAUAAUGGUCCCACAUAGGCCAUUAUAAAUGAGGUUUAAUUAGCCCAUUUUUAGAAGCGAGUUAGCUGCCUUGAGCUUCCACAGGAACGCAGCCAGGGCCACUUUGCUGACGGGGCUCCUGGUUGAGGCUGGUUAGCAGGAGUUUCAUGGCACUGGCAUGUCUUCCCAAGGAACUGGCACGAGGUCAGCUUCCUCCCCGCCAGCAGAUAAUAAGAUUCUUGAAUAUCACCUAUUUUGACUGUGUUAAAUGUACGAGUGGGAGAUGAAAGGCUUUGCCAGGGGACGAGCUCUUCCUUUAAAAUCUGGGACAUGGGAGUGGUAAUCCUUAGAAAAAUCCCUAGAAAAAUGUGAUGUCAGGAUUUUAUGAGACUUGUUCAGGAGCAAGGAACCAGGCUGGAGAAAAGCUGACACUGAGUCAGCAGAGAAGUGGAUGGAGAUGGAGGACUGGGAGGGACUGAGCCCAUCCCUGGGACAGGGCUCCUCCUGUCACAGACCACCUCACUGUCCCCACUGCCUCUGGAUGCUUUGGUUCAUUUUUUACUUACUGGAAUUCUCAGCUCAGGAGGAUGAGAUGCUGCUGCCCUUGAUGCCCACCCUGAGGGCAUCCAGCCUGGGUCUCACAGGCUCCUCCCUGGAACAGCCCUGUGUUCUCUUGGGCUGUGCUGGGGAUUUCCACCUCUUUUCUUGUGGUCUCAGAGGCCUCGGAGGCACAAGCCCCGCUCAGCAGCCUGGCAGUGCCGGCUGAUGGUCCAU
Molecule: long non-coding RNA, 2246 nt
Organism: Corapipo altera (White-ruffed manakin)
Lineage: Eukaryota; Metazoa; Chordata; Aves; Passeriformes; Pipridae
Exons: 3
Source: RefSeq, a predicted model, not a curated record